Molecule: ribosomal RNA, 835 nt
Filed under: uncultured bacterium
Lineage: Bacteria
Description: bacterial SSU rRNA
Rfam family: Bacterial small subunit ribosomal RNA
Source: RNAcentral
GAAUUCGCCCUUAGAGUUUGAUCCUGGCUCAGGAUGAACGCUGGCGGCGUGCCUAACACAUUCAAGUCGAACGGACUUGUCUUGCUUAAUCCUUCGGGAAGCGGCGGGACAAGUUAGUGGCGGACGGGUGAGUAACGCGUGAGCAACCUGCCUGUGAUAGAGGGAUAACACAUGGAAACGUGUGCUAAUACCACAUGACUCAACGAGGUCGCAUGACCAUGUUGUUAAAGGGAAACCGAUCACAGAUGGGCUCGCGUUGGAUUAGAUAGUUGGUGAGGUAACGGCUCACCAAGGCGAUGACGGGUAGCCGGUCUGAGAGGAUGUCCGGCCACACUGGAACUGAGACACGGUCCAGACACCUACGGGUGGCAGCAGUCGAGAAUCAUUCACAAUGGGGGAAACCCUGAUGGUGCGACGCCGCGUGGGGGAAUGAAGGUCUUCGGAUUGUAAACCCCUGUCAUGUGGGAGCAAAUUAAAAAGAUAGUACCACAAGAGGAAGAGACGGCUAACUCUGUGCCAGCAGCCGCGGUAAUACAGGGGUCUCAAGCGUUGUUCGGAAUCACUGGGCGUAAAGCGUGCGUAGGCUGUUUCGUAAGUCGUGUGUGAAAGGCGCGGGCUCAACCCACGGACGGCACAUGAUACUGCGAGACUAGAGUAAUGGAGGGGGAACCGGAAUUCUCGGUGUAGCAGUGAAAUGCGUAGAUAUUAGGAGGAACACCAGUGGCGAAGGCGGCUUACUGGACUGUAACUGACGUUGAGGCUCGAAAGCGUGGGGAGCAAACAGGAUUAGAUACCCUGGUAGUCCACGCGGUAAACGAUGAUUACUAGGUGUCGG